GAUGAACGCUGGCGGCGUGCCUAAUACAUGCAAGUCGAGCGAACAGACGAGGAGCUUGCUCCUCUGACGUUAGCGGCGGACGGGUGAGUAACACGUGGAUAACCUACCUAUAAGACUGGGAUAACUUCGGGAAACCGGAGCUAAUACCGGAUAAUAUAUUGAACCGCAUGGUUCAAUAGUGAAAGACGGUUUUGCUGUCACUUAUAGAUGGAUCCGCGCCGCUUUAGCUAGUUGGUAAGGUAACGGCUUACCAAGGCGACGAUGCGUAGCCGACCUGAGAGGGUGAACGGCCACAGUGGAACUGAGACACGGGCCAGGCUCCUACGGGUGGCAGCAGUAGGGAAUCUUCCGCAAUGGGAGAAAGCUUGACGGAGCAACGCCGCGCGAGUGAUGAAGGUCUUCGGAUCGUAAAACUCUGUUAUUAGGGAAGAACAAAUGUGUAAGUAACUAUGCUCGUCUUGACGGUACCUAAUCAGAAAGCCACGGCUAACUACGUG
RNAcentral lists this ribosomal RNA (497 nucleotides) under uncultured bacterium. Its description in RNAcentral is "partial 16S ribosomal RNA". It matches the Rfam family "Bacterial small subunit ribosomal RNA", at positions 28 to 507 of the family's 1533-position model. The record is from RNAcentral.